This 115-nucleotide ribosomal RNA is filed under the name bacterium NHP-B. The record is from RNAcentral.
GCUGGUGACUGGAGCGGAGGGGAUACACGCGAUUCCAUCCCGAACUCGAAUGUUAAGACCUCUAGCGCCGAUGGUACUGCGUCUUAAGGCGUGGGAGAGUAGGUCGUUGCCAGCC